UAUUAGCUCAGUGGUAGAGCGCGCCCCUGAUAAUUGCGUCGUGAGGUCUCUGGUUCAAGUCCAGGAUGGCCCAGCUG
Molecule: transfer RNA, 77 nt
Filed under: Coix lacryma-jobi (Job's tears)
Lineage: Eukaryota; Viridiplantae; Streptophyta; Magnoliopsida; Poales; Poaceae
Also listed under: 166 other names
Description: tRNA-Ile
Rfam family: tRNA
About the family: Transfer RNA (tRNA) molecules are approximately 80 nucleotides in length. Their secondary structure includes four short double-helical elements and three loops (D, anti-codon, and T loops).
Source: RNAcentral